UGCAUGUCGGGUUCAAAACAAUUUUUGUUGAAACUGCGAAGCGCUCAGUAAAUCAGUUAUAGUCUGUUCGAGCGAAAAACAGACGCCGAGGAUAACUGUGGUAAAUCUAGAGCUAAUACAUAGGAGGCCCUUUGCGGGGCUAGUUAUUGGCAGACCAAAAGUAGACCGCCUUCGGGCGGGCUAAGGUGAAUCUGAAUAACUUGAACGACCCCUAGCCGGGCUGGGGGCGGGUCGAGCGAAUUUCUGCCCUAUCAGCUAGUUGGUAGGGUAGCGGCCUACCAAGGCGUUAACGGGUAACGGGGAGUCAGGGUUCGACUCCGGAGAGGGAGCCUGAGAAACGGCUACCACAUCCAAGGACGGCAGCAGGCGCGCAAAUUACCCAAUCCAGAAAUUGGGAGGUAGUGACCAGAAAUACUGGGGUGGCUCCUAGCGAGCCUCGCCCGGAAUGGACGUAGCCCAAAAACAUCGCUGAUGAGCUACUGGAGGGCAAGUCUGGUGCCAGCAGCCGCGGUAAUUCCAGCUCCAGUAGUGUAUAUCAACAUUGUUGCGCUUAAAACGCUCCUAGUUGGAAUGGGGGGCGCCGCCGGAGCCUCAAUUUUUAAUUUUGGUUUCUGGUUUUGAGUAGGACUGGGUCCGCUUAGAAUUUGGGUCCUACUUUUGGUGCCCCAAAAUCAUGGGCCCCGGUUUCAGUCUUGGUUGACUGGGCCGGGCGCCGAUGGGGUGUGCCUUGAAUAAACCAUGGUGCUCAAUGCAAGCGGAAAUGCUGGGGUGUGUUAGCAUGGAACGAAUUUUUUGACUGUAGCCGCGGUUCCUGCUCUAUUAUCGAGAAAAGUGAGAUAAUUGGGAUGGGGCCGGGCUGGUUAGCUUUGGUGAACCAGGUCUCAGUGGUUAAGAGGGACGCCUGGGGGCACUGGUACUCUGUGGCGAGAGGUGAAAUUCUUAGACCCGCAGAAGACCGGCUGUGGCGAAAGCAUUUGCCAAGAGUGUUUUCAUUAAUCAAGAACGAAGGUCAGAGGAUCGAAGACGAUCAGAUACCGUCCUAGUUUUGACAGCAAACAUUGCCGGCCUAGCUGCGGGGCUGCUACUCAGAGUGGAGUAGAGCGGCCUCGCCGGCUUGAGGGAAACCUAGCUUUCGGGCUGCGGGGAGAAUAUCGCUGCAAGGCUGAAAUUUAAAGAAAUUGACGGAGAGGCACCACCAGGAGUGGAGCCUGCGGCUCAAUUUGACUCAACACAGGGAAAAUACCGGGUCCAGACAUUGGUAGGAUUGACAGAGUGGUGGAUCUUUCAUGAUUCAUGA
This 1297-nucleotide ribosomal RNA is filed under the name Ceratomyxa argentina. RNAcentral describes it as "SSU rRNA". It matches the Rfam family "Eukaryotic small subunit ribosomal RNA", at positions 52 to 1273 of the family's 1831-position model. Lineage: Eukaryota; Metazoa; Cnidaria; Myxozoa; Bivalvulida; Ceratomyxidae. The record is from RNAcentral.